GGCUGCUCCCAUGGUUGUGGAUUAUCAGAAUUUAUUAACAUUAGUGUCACUAAAGUUGGUAUACAACCCCCCACUGCUAAAUUUGUCUGGUUAAAA
RNAcentral lists this non-coding RNA (96 nucleotides) under Carlito syrichta (Philippine tarsier). The record is from RNAcentral. Lineage: Eukaryota; Metazoa; Chordata; Mammalia; Primates; Tarsiidae.